Long non-coding RNA from Herpailurus yagouaroundi (jaguarundi), 2020 nucleotides. RefSeq lists it as uncharacterized. The record is from RefSeq and is a predicted model, not a curated record. NCBI's taxonomy places the organism in Eukaryota, Metazoa, Chordata, Mammalia, Carnivora, Felidae. The transcript is spliced from 4 exons.
AGAGGGUUCCGCCCGCCUUCCUCCGGUCCACGGAGAGGACUGGCUGUUCCCAGCCCCUCAGAAAAGCUGUGGCCACACCCGCAGCCCCUCCACUCGGCCCGCUCCCUCCCGGGCUGGGCCGGGGGUUCCUUCCCCGCGCUGUACCGAGGGUCCCGCGGGCCGGUGCGCGGGGGUCAGAGGGGCUCCUCGCCACGCGCUGAGCGCCGCCACGUGCGGGGGGCGCCGGGAAGCCAGGUGGACAAAGUCGGGGACACGAUCCCGGGAAACCCGCGAGAAGGGUUCUGAGAUGGGUAGCCCCUGCUUACGGUGGCCUGCGUGGCCCUGGCGCCCGCUGACAGUGGCCCAAACUUUCUCCAGUGUUCUCCAACCGCUUCCUCCCGCAGCCUCUGGGAACCCGGAAGGCGGGGAUGCAAGGGCGGCGGCUGCGGGCCCACCAGCUGCCCCCCCAAGACCCUCUCUUCCCUGCUAGGCACCAGAGCUGACUUACGGAGGCGCGGGGGAACACGCACCCCGCCACUCCCCGCCCGUGGGACCCCAGUUUAGACAUGGUUUCUGGAUCCUCAUCAUCACCUUCUCUCAAAGGCAUGUGGCACCUUGUCACCAUCCCUGAAAAAGGCUGGCACCAAGAACUGAAUGCAGAAUUUAAGAUUUACUUCAAGUCUAUAAGUUCUGCAAGAUAUGCAUCCCAGAAAUGGACAUAGAAUGUGACUGGGGCGAGUCCUGAAUCUUCUAAACUUGUGCUGGUGAUGGAGAAGCCUUUUUGGUAACAUGGGGUAACAAUGAAGCGAAGGUCAAGAGAAUCUCUGAGAACUGAGUUCUGACAUCCUUGAGCAGCUAAACCAAUGCCUGCCUUAGGGCUGUUCAUAGAAUGAGAAAAGUAACUCUCUAAAUUGGUUAAGCUACUUUUUGGGGAUUUCAACUAUUAACAGACACCCAUGAUUCCGAAGUGAUACAUCUGUCCUAGAAUCCUGACCAUCACUGCUCUGUCAUUUGAAGACUCCAUCUUCUUCUGUGAUAUAGAAUAAAGAAGAUAUUUGACAAUUUUCUGAUUUCUAGCACCACUGACUUCCCCACAAUUCCAAGGUCUACAUGCCAGUGAUCUUGUUGGCAACUCAUCUUCAUGAUGACCUGGGUAAUUUGUUUAGUCCGCGAGAUUUCACCUCAUGUGGAGCCGCUAUCAUUCCAGUCACUUUUCUUGGACUUCGGGUCUCCCAUGCCAGCACAGGUUUCACCCUCUUCAGUCCAACAAGCACUGUCACUGACAAAGAUGAAAGCCAAGGAGAAGAGCCACUCUGAUUUCUAUCGUCCUCUACUUUUACAGCCCCUCCUCCCGCCACAAAUGCUGGGCCCUGCACGUAUUAUUCUUUCAGACAGGAGAAGAAAGUCUGCUUUGUUGAUCUUGACAUUUCUUGCAUGUCUCGGCUCAGGUUAGUCUCCAACCUGCAUUACUCAACUCCCAAUAUAUGUUUGCAGAUUGAAUGAAUGUGUCUAAGAUAUGAAAAAACUAAUGAAUUCAAUCAACCAUGGAAAUACGACAAGGAAUUCUCAGUUGCUCAGAGAGUGCAGCCAUGGUUUGGGGUUUCGCUUCUGCUGCUCGGACAGUGUGGGCCGACUGCACUACACGACGAUAUGUGUGUAGUGAGAUUCACUAUUCAAAAAUACUGGGAGCCUACUUUCCAGAACAUACUUGGAAAACAAGUUACAAAAGAAAGAAGUGCAUGAAUUUAUUAUUUUGGGGGCCAGCCCUCUCUCUGCUGGGUUAAAUCCAAGUUCCUUCUCUGCUUUUGCCUUCUAACUAGUUUUUGUUUGUUUGUUUGUUUAGGAACAGAGGGUGAUUCUAUCAAACCUAAUCAGAAAUACGCUAAAUGAUCUAGUAAGUGUUGUCUACUUUAAAAAUCUGCAUUGUCUCUAAUUUCAGAAAGUACUUGCAUUAAGCAGGGCUAUUUUUGUCGUGUGAAACAGAGGAGGAUUGGCAAACUUUUUUAGAUAAUAAAUAUUUCAGGCUUCACAAGUCAUAUGA